GCAGCAAUCAGAGCAGCUUCAUUGCAAACAUUAGCAAUGUCGGCUCCAGCAAAUCCUGGAGUAAGGGCUGCAAGUCUUUGUGAAAAAUAUGAAGGCUCAUGGUCAAGUUUAAUCUUUUUCAAGUAUAUCUGAAAUAUCUGGUCACGACCUUUAAUAUCAGGUUUAUCAAUGGAAAUCUGGCGAUCAAAUCUCCCAGGUCUAAGUAGGGCUUUGUCUAAUAUAUCAGGUCUAUUUGUUCCAGCCAGCACAACAACUCCAGUAGUUGUUCCAAAACCAUCCAUCUCCACCAACAAUUGAUUUAAAGUAUUUUCACGCUCAUUAUUUGCUGCAGAGUAAGAGAAACCUCCACGUCCCCUUGCUCGACCAAUUGCAUCAAUCUCAUCAAUAAAUAUUAUACUGGGAGCACACUGCCUUGCUUCCUGAAACAAGUUUCUCACCCUAGAUGCCCCGACACCAACAAAAAUUUCCGUGAAAUCAGAACCAGAUAUAGGAAAAAAUGGUACAGCAGACUCUCCUGCAGUUGCUUUUGCUAAAAGGGUUUUUCCUGUGCCUGGAGGACCGACCAGAAGAGCACCUUUUGGAAUUUUUGCACCAAGUUCUUCAUAUUUUUUUGGGUUCUUGAGGAAGUGGACAAACUCCAUAAUUUCUUGCUUUGCCUCAUCACACCCCGCAACAUCUUUGAAAUAGACCUUACCAAAUGAAUAAUAUAAAUAAUGAAAAAUAUAGUCUCUUUAAUGAACUUAUUAAUUACCAAUUGGAAAGAGAAAACUAUAAUCCGAAAGGCAAUGAUGGCAACUAUGGAGCAAGCUCUUAAACACAAUAACCAACAUAGAAAAAUAAGAAAGCAACUGACCUUGUUUUUGGCACUUUUAUCUACUUUAGAAACAUGGGCAACACGAAACCCAUUUAGUCUUCCUACCCUAUAAAGAAAAGAUGCCGAAAGCAACAGUGUUGAAGCGAGUGUCACCAACCCCAUGACCCAAACCAUAUCAGAAGAAUAUGUAACAGGUACAUAAUCAUGAUGGUCAAUGCCUAGUGCUUCUUGUGCUUCCUUUAACUUCGCCUCAAAAGACUCAAUACUUCCAAUAUUGAAAAAAUAUUUGUAUUGGCCUCUAGAUCCCUCUGAAGUUAGGUUCCCUUGGACCAUUUCAUGGGGAGAGCUCCUUACAUAAAUUUUGGCAACUAAUUUUAUUUUUGAGACAACAAUAUGGUCAACUAAUCCUGGUUCCAAUAGUUUAUAUCGGAACUCCUUAAAGCUAACCUGCAAAGAGUCAAAUUCUAGUCCAAGUCAGCAAGAUGAUGACAAAGAAAAAGAAACCAAAAAUAUCCAGCACAACACAGAAGAAAGGUAUCCCAUUGCCAAAAGACAUGUGAUUGGAAUUAGAUUUACAUCCCAAUUAUCAUACAAAGAUACCCAGAGAACGAAUAAGAUAUAAAGAAAUGUCAAGCAAUCUUCAAAACUCAAGCUAGGCUAAGACUUGAAUCAGAUGCUAGAAAUCAGUGAGAUAUAAAAAUCUCAGAUAUAUCCUAAUAACAACCUUUUUAAUGGAGCUUCAACUAAAGCGGUCAAUGACAGCAGCAUAAAGCUUAACUGACAGAUAUACACACAUUUUCAACAACAAAAUCGAAGUCAACAGUGGAUUUAAUCAAAUAAAUAUUUAUCGAGUAAAGUAUGAGUCGAAAUUUAUCCAUUAAUGCAGCUUCGUGUAAAAGUUAAUGAAAAGGAAGGAAAAGGACUCCAGUUAUAUACAAAAGAAGGAAAUAAAUCAUAAGAGUUACCCAAGUAAGCACUAGAGGAGAUAUUAAACAAAUAAAGUGCACCAGCCAUGGCAGGAUCCAGAGAAGGGUCGAACCUGUUGUAAGUCUAAAAUAGACAGCCUUAACUUGCAGUUACAAAAUGCUAAUUUCAACAACUUCCACCGUUACACCAAAGCACCCCUAGGUUUAAGCGUAUUAUUAUAAUAAAUUAUGUAAGACUCAAAAAUAGGUUAACAUAAUCUCUUUUGUAUUAUUAUUCUUACCUCCUCGUCAGGACCAAAAGAGAAGGUCGCCAAAAAUAGCCCUAUCAGCAAUAAUACCAAUACUGAGACGAUUAAAAUCUUUCGAAAAUUUCCAUGAUCUGAAAUCCAAAGGAGAGUAAGUGUUAAAUGUUAGUCGUGGUCCCCUUUUAUCCUAAGAUCAACUGGGAAAACAUUCACACACUAGUUAAACAAGUAUUAGUCUGUUGUCUCCAAUACUUGAAUAUCAUGUAGUCAUGAAAAGGGCAUUCCUCUAUAUUACUCAUUAUAUCAGCUAUGACCACCAUUUUCAAAUAAUUUGCUAUGGCAGCUUCCUAGUUCAUAAGAAAAUAAGCACAUCCUUUUACCUUUAAGCUUGAAUAUUAGGUUGAUUCUCUUGAAAACUCCCUUGAAAGUUUCCUUGAAAAUACUCUUCUUUCCAUUUGGGACUUCCUUCUUCCCCUUAGGGGAGAGUUUCUCAGAAUCUGAAAUCCAAAUAAGAGUUCAAGUGUUAAAUAUUGGUAGUGGUCCGCCUUUUAUUCCAAGUAAAUACAUGAUUAAUUCCUAGACACACAAACAGACCAAAUUAAAUUAAAUCAUCGCAUGUUGAAAAAACAUUUUGCAUUGCAACACAUAUAAAAAAAAAUCCCCAAAACACAACAUGCACGAGUUAAACAAGUAUUAGUCCGUUGUGUCCUAUUCUUGAAUUUCAUGUAAGUGCAUUCCGGGUGGAAUGAAGGGUCAGGCGUCAGGGUUCAAACUCUGGUGAAGGAACUAAUUUACUAACAUUAGUAGUAACUAACAUUUGCCUAUAAUAAAAACUAAUCAGAAGUUCGGAACCUAGCUGAAGCACAACGCAGUGAUCAAGAAGCAAUGCGGAGAAUUGGAGUUUCGUUGCUAAGAGCAAUAGAAUUAGAAACAGUUUCCAGUUCAUCACGCUAGACAUAAAUUACGAACCAAAAAUAUAACCCUAACUUACUUUGCUUCUUCUUCGGAGCUUCGCUAGGGUUUGUAGAACCUACAUUGCAGGUGGAAGAGCGUGGAGGGGAACCCGGCUCCUGAGCCAUCGGCCGGUGGUGGCAGACGGCGGGUAGGAGAGAAAUCAGGAAAGUGAGAAUCAGAAUUUGAAGAAAAUGUGGUUCUUGAUUCUAAGAUGUUAGCAGAGAUAUUUGCAGAGUGAAUCAAUCACACGUUGAAUCUGCAUGAAAAGGCUUUGAAUUUUUGUGUUGAUUUAUACUACUGAUGGGUUUCUCUUCUAUACUUCGCUGGUCCAUCAUAUCACGCUGCUCCGUCCGUGAUUUUAUGCGUGUUUCUGGAACAGAGGGUCAGGGUGCGUGUAUCAUACGCAAACGGAGGAUAUUUACCUCUCAGCAAUGAAGAUUUUUUAAAAACUAAAUAAAUCCCUAAAUCUUCUUUUAACGAAAUUCCCUAAAUCUAUAGAUAGAUUAUUUAGAAUCCCUAAAUCUAUGUUCUAUUUUUUUCAUCUAUAUCUAUUUAUAUGCAUAUCUUAACUCUUAUAGAUAGCACCCUCUCUAUGUAAAAAAAAUGACAAUUAUGAAGCACGGACACCUCUCACAUAUGAAGUUUCCCGGUGUCGGAUACUGACACGACACUGACACCUCAUACGACACCAACACGACACGUGUCAGACACUUCUUCACAAUGUCAGAUUAAAAAAAUAUUGUUUUGCGGCUCGGACACUCGAGCCGCCACCUUUUCUUGGUUAGACAUACACUUAUAUUUAAAAAAAACAUAUAAUUUUUAGAAGUGAAGCAUGAAAAAAAUUACUAAUUUAUCACAUGAAGAAUCAAAGUCAAAGACAUUUACAAUGAUGAUGAUUAAUAAGGAAGUGAAAAAUCAGUAGAUAGAUUAGCUCUUUUAUAAAUAAGUUAGUCUUUUUACAAACAAAACAUCAAAACAAGUUUAUAAGCUUUAUGACAAAAGCUUCAUAAAAAUAUACCAAUGGGUCCCCGACCGUGUCUUGGUUUUUGAAUUUUAGUAAUGUCGCAAUUCCAGUGUCGUGUCAUGUCUGAUAUUCGUGCGUAUGUGCUUCAUAGGAUGACACCCUCCUAGUCUAUGUGGUCAUAUUUAAUCCACCUGCACCCCAUCUCAUUAGGCCCAUAAUUUUCCCUACUUGAUCAUCUUCUUCACUAGGGAGAACAUACCCUAACACCUGCCACCCUAAUUAGCUCUUUCACGGGCCACCAUUUCCCUCUUCUUCAUACCAUGCCCCCAACUCUUCAACUCCCCUUAGCUUUUAAAGCGUAUGAAAAUGAAUUUGGAAGUAAAAAAAAUUUCUUUUCUAUCAACGGUACUUAGAUAAAUAUCCAAUAUGUUGCCUAGCUGCACUUACAUUAGUGAGACCAAAAUUUCAAAGAAUAAUACUACAAUGCAAUCAAAUAAAUCUUGAAGAACAAAGCAUCAAGACUCAUGCUAAUACAAGUAGCUAAUAACCUAGCAACCCAACAGAGCCCCUAAAUUCUCAGGGCCAACAAUGAAUCAAGCUGACUAACUAAGCAAAAAUCUUUGAUCUUUUAUAACCAACAACUUUCUCUUUAGCAACUCACUCGACUCUGCCAAAAUUACGAUUUGUAUGCCUUCAUGGGAACCUACGUCAUGAUUAAAAAAAAAAACUCUUAAAAAGUGACUUAUAAAUCAGAACAUAGUGAGUAAGUCGGUGUGUUAGCAUGCAUCAUAACAUGUGUCAUUUUGUUUGAGUAUUUUUUGUUCAAAUAAUAUUGUCUUCUAAAAAACAAUGUGUUUAUAAAAAAGUAUUGCUAAUUUUUGCAUUAAGAAAAAAAUGUUAAUGUGCUAAGUAUUCAUAGAUCGCUUUACGCAGGCACCCAUUUCGGCUUAAGCUCCUCCUUGGCAAAGUCUGAGCCAAAAUCAUGGCCAAAUUUCAGGAAUUGGUCCAUUUAUGUGAACAUGGAUAACAAAACAUGUUGCUUGCUACAUCAAUGGUACUGUUUUCCACAUAACCACGUUAGCCAACACCGAGAUAUUGACAAAAAACCGAAAACAAGAUCAUGCCUAGAUGAACAAGUUCAUGCAUUAUCAUCCCACAGCUGUAUGAAAAUUUCCAUUUAACAGAUGUGAAAACCAAGAAUAUUAAACUUCCAUAGAUACUUAAUAUACAACACAUGGUAUGAGAAAAAUAAGAAACGAAUUUUAUUUACUUAGUAGUGAUAAUACAAUUUUUGUCCAUGUUAUCAAAUUAACAAAAACAAAAUAAUAGCUAAAACACAUAAACAAAAAGAUGUGUUUUUGCUAUCUAUUUCUACUUAAGCUGGGUGUAAUUUGCAUCACUGUUUGCAGACUACCUUCAAAUAUUUCCAAUGUCACUAUUCUAAAGCAUACCCCAUUAGAGUUUAAAUGAAAUUUUUAAUUUUAGCUAAAAAAGAUAUUCAUGUACACUUAAAAAAACAUGAACUUAUUCAUGUCAGGACUACCUGGGGAUCUAAAGGUGAAUCCCCACCACCCUUCUCAGGCCCAUUGACGGUGCUUUCUAUGAUUUUUUCGUCGUCCGCUUGGGGACCUUGCUUUGACCUAUCAUAACUGGUGUGUUCACUAGCCUGGAAGGGACGUUCCCCCAAAACUCGAACCAAGUCAUCUUGGUGAAGUACCUCUUUUUCAAGCAGCAACUCUGCAAUUUGAGCUACAUGUUCCUUGUGUUCCUCAAUUAGCUGUAUUGUACGUUCAUACGCUUUAUUCACCCAUUCUCGCACUUCACUAUCAAUGAUUGCAGCAGUUUUGCUGCUGUAUGGCUUCAACAUCUCAGAUGAGUCUUCUCUCUGAGGGAAAGAGAGGAGGCCCACUUUGUCACUGAAACCAUAGACUGCCACUUGAGCAUAAGUCAUCUUGGUCACUUUUUCCAAGUCGUCCUGUGCUCCUGUUGAGAUUCUCCCAAUGAGAACCUGCAGUAAAGAGGGAGGGAAACAAUCAUUUUCUCAUUUCUUGGCUUUGGAGGUGCUGAAGAAUCAGAUAAGAGAAAAACAUUAUACAAUAAAAUAAGGCAGUAAUAAGAUUUGUAAUUUAGAAAUAUAAUAAGGAAUGUACUUAAAUCUCUGCAUUAGAAUUCCGGCUGAGUCUUACUUUACCCCAAAAACAAGCUCAAGAGUGAGAAAUGCUCUAUCCUAUGUAGAGACUUAUUUAUUCAUAUCACUAGUCAAUGAGAGAUUUCUCAACACACCCCACACCAAGGGCUGGAAUUUAGGAGCGAGAAGUUUGCAAGACUGAACAUGGGUAGUUCAUUUAUGGGUGAUCUCCAAUAAAUAGAUCUAGGAUAGACUCUAAUACCAUACUCGAAUUCGGGCUAGACCUAACUUGACGCCAAAAGCUAAGGUCGAGGUGAGGAUUGCUCUACCACAUAUAUAAUGACUUAUUUAGCGAUAUCACUAGUCAAAGUGAAAAAGUCUGAAUCAUAAUAAACCCUUUCACUAGAAAGAUCAGCAAUUCAGCAUUACUCAUACAACAAAGUGCUAAUGAAAAAACAGGAGACGAAAACAGUAAGUAAACAAAACAGGAAAUGCUAGACAACCUGCUCUGCAGCCCGACCACCAAGGGUCAUACAAGUCAUAUCGAAAAGCUGCUCCUUUGUCAUGAGAAGGUUCUCACUCAGAACGUACUGCGCAAAUCCAAGAGCAGCUGUUCCACGAGGAACAAUAGUUACUUUCAACAAGGGUUCAGCAUAUUCCAAGAACCAACCAGCAACAGCAUGGCCUGACUCAUGGUAAGCGACAGUGCGCCUUUCCAGCUUGCUUAUUACCUUGAUAUGAAACAGGGUAUUAGAUAAAUUUCAACCAGUAACUGAAAAGAAAAAGCAAAGUGAGAGCUCCAAACUCAGUUCAAUACUUUCAAUUCAUUGCAUAUAACUAUGCCUAUAACGUGCAGAACUUUUAUAAACUUAAAUACCAAGCCCCACCCCACCCCUUUCCUAUGCCUUUCUAAAUAAUAAUAUAAAAACUUAAAAUGGCACACCUUGUUUUUCUUCUCCAAACCACCAAUAAUCCUAUCAAUAGCUGCCUCAAAGUGAUCCAUUGAGACUUGUGUUUUUUCACCUCUUGCAGCAAUUAGAGCAGCUUCAUUGCAAACAUUAGCAAUCUCUGCUCCAGCAAAUCCUGGAGUAAGGGCUGCAAGCCUUUCUGAAAAAUAUGAAGGCUCAUGGUCAAGUUUGAUCUUUUUCAAGUAGAUCUGAAAUAUCUGGUCACGACCUUUGAUGUCAGGUUUAUCAAUUGUUAUCUUGCGGUCAAAUCGCCCAGGUCUAAGUAGGGCUUUGUCUAAUAUAUCAGGUCUAUUUGUUCCUGCCAGCACAACAACUCCAACUGUGGUUCCAAAACCAUCCAUCUCCACCAGCAAUUGAUUUAAAGUACUUUCGCGCUCAUCAUUUGCCCCAGAGGAACCUCCACGUCCCCUUGCACGACCAAUCGCAUCAAUCUCAUCAAUAAAUAUAAUACAGGGAGCACACUUCUUUGCUUUCUGAAACAAGCUUCUCACCCUAGAUGGUCCGACACCAGUAAACAUUUCCGUGAAAUCAGAACCAGAUAUAGAAAGAAAUGGCACACCAGACUCCCCGGCAGUUGCUUUUGCUAAAAGGGUUUUCCCUGUGCCGGGAGGACCAACCAGAAGAGCACCUUUUGGAAUUUUCGCACCAAGUUCUUCAUAUUUUUUUGGGUUCUUUAGGAAGUGGACAAACUCCAUAAUUUCUUGCUUUGCCUCAUCACAGCCCGCAACAUCUUUGAAAUAGACCUGGCCAAAUGAAUAUAAAUAAUAAAAAAUAUAGUCUCUUAAAUGAACUUAUUACAAGUUAUUCACCCAUACUACAUAUACUCCCUGAAAGAGAAAACUACAAUGAGAAAGUGGGAAAGGCAAUGAUGGCAACUAUGGAGCAAGUUCUUAAACACAAUAACCAUCAUAGACAAAUAAGAAAGCUACUGACCUUGAUUUUGGCAUUUUUGUCUACUUUAGUAAUAUUGGCACCACCAAAUCCAUGUAGUCUUCUCACCAGAUAUACGAAAGAUACUGAAACCAACAAUUCUGGAGCCAAUCGCAUUAACUCCAGGUACCAAACGAUUUCAGAAGAAUAUGUAACAGGUACAUAAUCAUGAUGGUCAAUGCCUAGUUCCUCUUGUGCUUCCUUUAACUUCUUCUCAAAAGACUCAAUACUUCCAAUAUUGAAAUAAUAUUUGUAUUGACCUCCAGAUCCCUUUGGAGAGAAUGUCCCUUGGACUACUUCAUUGUCAGUUUGAUCACGGGGAGAGCUCCGUACAUAUAUUUCGGCAACUAAGUUCUUUGAGACAACAAUGUGGUCUACUAACCCUGGUUCCAAUAGUUUAUUUCUAAACUCCUGAAAGCUAAUCUGCAAAGAAUCGAAUUCUGUUCCAAGUCAGCAAGAUGAUGGCAUUGAAAAAGAAACCAAAAAUAUCCAAACACAGAAGAAAGGUAUCACAUUGCCAAAAGGCAUGUGAUCAGAUUCACAUCCCAAUUAUCAUACAAAGAUACCCUCAGAAUAAAUAUAAUAUAGAGAAAUGUAAAGCAAUGGUCAAAACUCAAGCUAGUUUAAGACUACCAGAUGCUAGAAAUCAGUGGGAUAUAAAAAUCUCAAAUAUAUCCUAAUAACAACUUUUUUUAUGGAUCUUCAACAAAAGCAGUAGAUGACAGCAGCAUAAAGCUUAACUCAAAGACAUACACAUUUUAAACCACAAAUAAAAGUCAAUAGUGACUUAAGCCAAAUAAAAAUGAAAAGAGUAACGCAUGAGUUUAAAUUUAUCCAUAAAUGCAGCUUCACGAAAAAGCUAAUGAAAGGGAGGGAAAAGACUCAAGUUAUAUACAAACACCUAUGGAUACAGAGGGAAAAGACUCAAGUUAUAUACAAACACCUAUGGAUACAGACGAGCAAGAAGGAAAGAAAUCACAAGAGUUACCCAAGUAAGCAAUAGACAAAAUACUAAACAAACAAAGCACACCAGCCAUGGCAGGCUCCAGGGAAGAGCUGAACCUGUUGUGAGUCUAAAAUAGGCAGCCUUAACUUGCAUUUACAAAGUGCUAAUUUCAAAAAAAUCAGCCGUUAUACCAAAGCUCCCCUAGGUCUAAGCCAGUGCAGUAUUAUUAUAAAUUAUAUAAGACUCAAAUCCAGUUUAACAUAAUCUCUUUUGUACUACCAAUUUCCGCAUUCAUCAUGGCAGCACAAGGUUCACUUCUCAUGCAUUUGAAAUCAUAUCUCAAGUUCUCAACUCAACCCAACUUCACCCACAUAAAAAAAAAUUAAAACAAUUUGCCUGGUAAUUCACUUUAAGUUAUUCUUACCUCCUUGUCAGGACCAAAAGAAAAAGGCACAAAAAAUAGCCCUAUCACCAAUAAUGAGGCUAUCACCAAUACUGAGACAGUUAAAACCUUUCGAGAAUUUCCAUGAUCUGAAAUCAAAAGGAGAGUUCAAGUGUUAAACUUUGCUAGUGGUUCCCUUUUAUUUCAAGAUAAACUAGAAAAUAGAUACAUGAUUAAUUCCUAGACACAGAAACACACCAAAUUAAUUAAGCUGAGAAAACAUAUUAGUCAUUAUAUGACCUAUGACCACCAUUUUCAAAUAAUUUGCAAUGGAGCUUCCUAGUUGAUAAGAAAAUAAGCACAUCCCUAUACCUUUAAAGUUGAAUAUUUGAUCAAUUCUCUUGAAAAUACCAUUGUUUCCAUUUGGGACUUCCUUCUUCCCCUUGGUGGAGAGCUUCUCAGAAUCUGCGAAAAAAUGGUAAUACUAAUCAGAACGCUAGCUGAAGCACAACACAAGCCAAACAAAGGGGAGAAUCGGAGUUCAGUUGCUAAGAGCAAUUGAAUCAGAAACAGUUUCCAUUUCAUAAAAAACAUAACCCUAACUUACUUUGCUUCAUCGAAGGGCACGGAGGGGAACCCGGCUGCUCAGCCAUCAGCUGUCGCACGUUAGGCGGAGACGGCGGCGAUGAGAGAAAUCAGGAAAGUGAGAAUCUGAAUUUUAACCCUAAUCUGAAUUUUUUACUUUGCUUCAUCAUGAUUUUAACAGAAUCAAAUGAUGUUGAAUGCGCAUGACAAGGGUUUGAAUAGGAAAUUGAGUUUGGUGCCCCACCCCUUAGGCUUUGCACCCCACUUUAUUAAAUAUGGAAUUUAAAGUUCCGUAUCAAUACGGAAAAUAAAAUUCCGUAUCUGUUUUAGUAUAUAAUGAGUGGUUGAAAAUGUGACACGCAUGCUUAAAUACAGUACGGAAUUUUAAGUUCCGUAUUCAAUAGGGAGAAUACGGAAUUUUAAAUUCCGUAUUUGAUAAAGUGGGGUGCCAAGCCCCAUAGGUGGGGUGUCAAACCCAACUCCCGUUUGAAUAAUUGAGCUAUCCUCACUAAUGUUAAAGCUGUCCAGAGACUGACACGUGUUUCCGCGUGCUGUUGUUUUUUCCCGCCCAUUUCCCCAACCGUCCGAUUUUUCUCAUCUAGUAUGGAUUGAACCGAUGAAACAAAUGAACCAAUGAACCAAACUAAAUCAAUUAAGUUGGUUUUGAUUUUAUAAUGCUCGGAUCCCAGCUAACCAAUGCAAAACUAAAAAUGAUCUGUUCGAUUUACAGUUUGAAAACUUGGAAACUAAUAAACCAAACCGAGCAUGUGUAAUUAACAAUUCUUAAUAAAUAUAUAAAAACAUGCAUAUUUAUUAAUUAUGAAUUUGUUAUGGUGCUUGUGGAUUUAUUUUUUGUAUUUGACCGACUUAAUAAGGAGUAUUAUGUAUUUACAUGGCUAUAUACUGCUGGUUACAUAUAUAUUGCCUUCAUUCUUAAUUAAUUGCUUAUCGAAAAGAGAAAAACCACACAUAUUAAGGAGUGAAAUCAAUUUUAUUAAUUUUUAUAAAAAUAUUAUUUUUUCCUAUUCUACCUUUUAAAAUGUAAUUUAUAUUCCCUAAUUUAUUGUUCCCACAAUUACAUUAGUUGGAAAAACAACAUUUAACGUUCUCUUAACAUUAUAAGUGAACAUAUAUAUAGAAUAAUUUUUUUCCACCUUUGAGGGGCAUCUCAGAUCAGACACUUUUAGAUAGUGUCUCAUAUCUAAUGUCAUUCAAUACCUAACACGUUAAUCUUUCUUUUCAUGUCAGCCAGUGUUUUUUUUUUGGCUUAAUUGUAACUUUGAUCUCUAACGUUUACUAAAGCCACGAUUUUAGUACCCAACCUAAUUUAAUUACAUAAAUAGUCCCUGACGUUAUAUGUUGUUUGCAACAUUGGUCCGACCGUCUAUUUUUUAACAGAAGAAGCUUAAGUAGCGUCUGAAAGCUUACAUGACACUAACACAUGCCUCUUCAUCUCAGAAAAAAAUAAUAAUAAUAAUAAUUCAAACCCAGAAAGGUGAUUAAUUCUUCUUCUCAUCUCCCUGUUCAUCAUCUUCAUCUUCUUCAAACCUAACCCAUUUUUUUUAAAAAAAAUUAUUCAUUAUCAUCUUCAAACCUAACCCUCUGCAGAUCUGAUGCCACAAUCCCCAACCCCAUCUCCACCCAUCACCACCCUUCCCUUCCUCCACCUCCUUGUAAAGCCACAACACUGGUUCAAGAAUAGAGCCAGAGAAAAAGAAGCAAAAGAAAACAGAAACAUUCAUCAUGUGUUCUUCAAUCUCUACUGGUUUCAUCUGGGUUUCCAGAUCUGGAUUGGGUAGAGAAGGUAGCAACUUGAAUCUAGUGAUUCUAGUUUCAAGUGUGAUUUAGGGAUUUCAGAAAAGAUGAAGAUGAAUGGAUCCCUAGGGUGUCAGAUUUGGGGAAAAUGGGCUAAAAGGAGAGUCAUGUGACUCCUAUGUGCCUCCCUCUUUCUCUCUAGUGGCACUUCCACAUAAGCUUUUAGAUGCCAAAUAAGCUGUUUCUGUUAAAAAAUAGACGGUCGAACUAACGUUGCAAACAACAUGCAACGUCAGGGACCAUUCUUAUAAUUAAAUUUGGUUGAGGACUAAAAUUAUGGUUUUGGUGAACAUCAAGGACUAAAGUUGCAAUUAAGCCUUUUUUUUGUUUUUCGUUUCAACUAAUGGCGUCUCAUUUGAGACGCCAUCCAAACAGGUAUCCAGAUCUCCCACAUGGCAUAAACUACCCCACGGGGUGAAUUGCUUCCGAAAUGCAACUUUUUUGGUAAAAAGUUAUUUUUUAAAUUUUUAGAUAAAAACCAAGGAUAAGUUCAAAUCAAGCAACAUUGACUCAACGAGUAUUUGUCACUUGCAUGCUCGAUCACUCUAAGCCAUUGUCGGUGUUCUCUAACCAUACUCUGCUAGUAAGUAGUAACGCAUACAAAUACAAGUAUGAGCUACGAAAUGUUUUCAAAAACUAAGGUACAAAUAUACUUAGUGGGGGUAUUUCUAAACUACUCCCACCAAUAGAGUAUCAUAACAUUCAACACCUUUUAUUUUACACUUUAUAUGCUUAUUAGAAUCUUAGAAAGGAAGGAAGUUGAGGGAAGAGUUCUAAUUGGAAAAUAGCGUUUUCCAUGUGCGUUGGAUCAACACGACUACAAGAGGAAUGUUGGAAAAAGAAAAAAACAAUUGGAGCAGUAAAUAAUUCUUAUGCGCUUGUGUAAGAAAACUGUUUGUGUUGUGCUUCCCUCUUUUAUCCUUAUUAUAUAUGUGAAUGCUUAGAUGCCUCUUCAAAAUGGGGGACAUUGGUGCCCCUUUUUUUUUACCUGCUAUAACUUGUUUCAACAUGCCAUUUUUUUUUUGUAAAUGUAUAUUUCAACAUUUCUUCCGUUUAUAAUGUUAAUAACCUCACUGCCUAACACAUUUCUUCUGAGUUUUGUAAGACGAUUCAAAAAAAGUUGGACGUGGCAGAUACCCAAAAUGCCACUUACAAUGUGUAACUUUGAACAUAAAUCGAAUUAUGAUUAUUUUAUUUUUAACAAUAAUAAAUUAAAAGGUAUAAUAUAUAUUAUGAUCAUAAAAUUUUAAUUAUAAUUUGAAAAUUAGAUUACAAAUAAUAUGUAAUUUAAAAAUUGAAAUUUUAAAUUUAGAAUAUUAUAGGAAUUACAAUUAUAAUAGAAAUUAAUUUAAAAUGGGAAAUACUCAAUAGUUCAAGAUGAAAAUAGGAAACCAACGAUCACUUUACUUUUCAUUUAUAUUAUUUCACCUUGAACUCUUUUCUUUAUAUUUUUGUCCUCUCGUUUACACUAUACAUCUAAACCGAGCAUUAGAUAAAAAUACCGAACCUUUCAUUUUUGUGCACCCACUGCUUCUCUCAUACCUGUGGUACCCUACAAACAAGCCAGGCUCCUCUGAAGGGAAGAUUAUGUUCAUGCAAUGCAAUGGAGUGCACAUUACCAUGGGCUCGAUCAAACCCGAAGACAAAAUCAUUUGACAGUUGCAGCAACAAAAUCAGAAAACUCAAACUCGUCAUUCUAUGAAGAGGCUACUUUGGUUCCAAAAUUUGGAUAGGUUAUUUUGCAACAUAGGAUAUAAGAAAAGAGAAAUCAGAAAUAAAUUGUAUUUAUUAGCAGUUAUCGUACAAGUUUUGUCCAUGUUAUCAAUUCACAAAAACAUGAUAUUCAUGUACACUAUAAAUCAAAACGGGAACUUAUUCAACUAUGUGGGAACUACCUGAGGAUCAAAAGGUGAAUCCCCACCACCCUCUUCAGCCACAUCGACCAUGCUUUCUAUGUUUUUUGUCUCGUCCUCUUGGAAACCUUGCUUAAAGGUAUCAUAAUUGGUGGGUUCACUGGCCUUGAAGGGACGCUCACCCAAAACUCGACGCAAGUCAUCUUGGUGAAGUACUUCUUUUUCCAGCAGCAACUCUGCAAUUUGAGCUACCUGCUCCUUGUGUUCCUCAAUUAAAUUUACUGUAUGGUCAUAUGCUUUCUUCACCAAUUUUCUCACUUCCCUAUCAAUCAAUGCAGCAGUUUCGCUGCUAUAUGGCUUCGACCCAAAUGAGUCUUCUUUCUGAGGGAAAGAUAGGAGGCCCACUUCCUCAUUGAAACCUAGGACACCCACUUGUUUAUAACUCCAGUCUGUCACUUUUUCCAAGUCGUUCUGUGCUCCUGUUGAGAUUUGCCCUAUGAGAACCUGCAGUAACAAGGGAGGGAAACAAUCAUUUUCUCAGAUUUGAAUUGGAGAAAAACAUUAUACAAUAAAACAAGGCAGUAAUAAGAUUUGAAUUUGAAAAAUAUAAUAAGUAAUGUACAGUGUCUGAAUUAGAAAUCAGGCUAAGCCCAAGUUUACCCCAGAAACUAGCUCAGGGAUGAGAAAUGCUCUAUCUAUAUAAAUAAUUAUUUAGUCAUAUCACUAGUUAAUGUGGGACUCCUCAACACACCCUCACCCCCGAGCUGAAAAUCUGGAGCAUGAAAUUUUCAGGACUGGCCAUGGGUAGUCGUAGCCCAUUUAUGGGUGAUCUUCAAUAAACAGAUUUAGGAUAGGCUCUAAUGCCAUAUUCGAUUUUCGGGCUAGAUCUAACUCUAGCCCAAAAGCUAAGCUCGAGGUGAGGAUUUCUCUACCAUAUAUAAGGACUUAUUUAGUUAUAUCACUAAUCAAUGUGAGACUAGUCAAAAGUCUGAAACAUGUUACACCCUUUCACUAGAAUAUCAACAUUAGUCAUACAGCAAAGAGCUAAUGAAAAAAGGAGAGAAAAACAGUAAGUAAACAAAAUUGGAAAUGCUAAACAACCUGCUCUGCAGCCCGACCACCAAGGGUCAUACAAGUCAUAUCAAACAUCUGCUCCUUUGUCAAGAGAAGGUUCUCAUUUGGAACGUACUGCGCAAAUCCAAGAGCAGCAGUUCCACGAGGAACAAUAGUUACUUUCAACAAGGGAUCAGCAUGUUCCAAGAACCAACCUGCAACAGCAUGGCCUGACUCAUGGUAAGCGACAGUACGCCUUUCCAGCUUGCUUAUUACCUUGAUAAGAAACAAGUUAUUAGAGAAACUUUUAACCAGUAACUGAAAAAAAAAAUACAAAGUGAGAGCUCCAAACUUGGUUCAAUACUUUCAAUUCAAUGUAGCAUAUAAUCUUCAUCAUCAUGAAGCCUUAAAAUGCAACAACAGCCAAAGAACAACUAUCUUUGCGAAUUAGAUAUACAAAUAAACUAGAAGAUCUGGGGUAUAAGGGACGGUCUACUCAGGGACAUUUUCAUUCUCCAUCGUAAGUAACCAAUACCAUGUGGAACAAUAUUUAUUAAAAUAAAUAAACUAUAUUCUCUGCUAAAGCUUCAUUUUACUCACAAUGAUGAUGAAAGGAAAGUAAUAUGGGAAAAAUGAAGGCUACAACUAUGCCUAUAAUGUGCAGCUACCCUGCCCCUUUCCUAUAGGCUAGAUCUUUCUAAAUAAUAAUAUAAAAACUAAAAAUGGCAUACCUUGUUCUUCUUCUCCAAACCACCAAUAAUCCUAUCAAUAGCUGCCUCAAAAUGGUCCAUUGUGACUUGUGUUUUGUCACCUCUUGCAGCAAUCAGAGCAGCUUCAUUGCAAACAUUAGCAAUGUCGGCUCCAGCAAAUCCUGGAGUAAGGGCUGCAAGUCUUUGUGAAAAAUAUGAAGGCUCAUGGUCAAGUUUAAUCUUUUUCAAGUAUAUCUGAAAUAUCUGGUCACGACCUUUAAUAUCAGGUUUAUCAAUUGAAAUCUGGCGAUCAAAUCGCCCAGGUCUAAGUAGGGCACUGUCUAAUAUAUCAGGUCUAUUUGUUCCUGCCAGCACAACAACUCCAGCUGUGGUUCCAAAACCAUCCAUCUCGACCAACAAUUGAUUUAAAGUACUUUCGCGCUCAUCAUUUGCUCCAGAGAAACCUCCACGUCCCCUUGCUCGACCAAUCGCAUCAAUC
RNAcentral lists this long non-coding RNA (15751 nucleotides) under Lotus japonicus. RNAcentral describes it as "long non-coding RNA (LJAP_LNC001707)". Lineage: Eukaryota; Viridiplantae; Streptophyta; Magnoliopsida; Fabales; Fabaceae. The record is from RNAcentral.